GCUGCAGAAGAAGCACCGGCUAACUCCGUGCCAGCAGCCGCGGUAAUACGGAGGGUGCGAGCGUUAAUCGGAAUUACUGGGCGUAAAGCGCAUGCAGGUGGUUGUUAAGUCAGAUGUGAAGACCCGGGGCGUCAACCUCGGAAUUGCAUUUGAAACUGGCAACUAGAGUACUGUAGAGGGGGUAGGAAUUUCUAGGUGUAGCGGUGAAAUAGCGUAGAGAUCUGAAGGAAUACCGGUGGCGAAGGCGGCCCCCUCGGACAGAUACUGACACUCAGAUGCGAAAGCGUGGGGAGCAAACAGGAUUAGAUACCCUCGGUAA
Molecule: ribosomal RNA, 319 nt
Filed under: uncultured bacterium
Lineage: Bacteria
Description: bacterial SSU rRNA
Rfam family: Bacterial small subunit ribosomal RNA
Source: RNAcentral